RNAcentral lists this ribosomal RNA (282 nucleotides) under uncultured prokaryote. RNAcentral describes it as "partial 16S ribosomal RNA". It matches the Rfam family "Bacterial small subunit ribosomal RNA", at positions 524 to 803 of the family's 1533-position model. The record is from RNAcentral.
CACGGGGGUUGCGAGCGUUGUCCGGAAUUACUAGGCGUAAAGGGCAGGCAGGCGGAUCCAUAAGUUUAUCGUUUAAGGCGUCGGCUUAACCGGCGUAGGGCGGUAGAUACUGUGGAUCUGGAAUGCGGUUGGGGAAGACAGAAUUCCUGGUGUAGCGGUGGAAUGCGCAGAGAUCAGGAGGAAUACCGAAGGCGAAGGCAGUCUUCCAAGCCGUUAUUGACGCUCAACUGCGAAGGUGUGGGUAUCAAAAAGGAUUAGAUACCCCUGUAGUCCCUGAGCGGG